AAUUAUAUAGUUUAAUACAAAACAUUAUAUUUUCAAUAUAAAAAUAAUUUUACUUGUUUAUAAUUC
This 66-nucleotide transfer RNA is filed under the name Scelio sp. ZJUH_2016028. RNAcentral describes it as "tRNA-Glu". Lineage: Eukaryota; Metazoa; Arthropoda; Insecta; Hymenoptera; Scelionidae. The record is from RNAcentral.